Molecule: ribosomal RNA, 467 nt
Filed under: uncultured bacterium
Lineage: Bacteria
Description: bacterial SSU rRNA
Rfam family: Bacterial small subunit ribosomal RNA
Source: RNAcentral
UGCCCAGACUCCUACGGGAGGCAGCAGUGAGGAAUAUUGGUCAAUGGGCGCGAGCCUGAACCAGCCAAGUCGCGUGAGGGAUGACGGUCCUACGGAUUGUAAACAUCUUUUGCCGGGGAGCAAGCGUGCGUUCGUGAACGCACGUCGAGAGUACCCGGAGAAAAAGCAUCGGCUAACUCCGUGCCAGCAGCCGCGGGAAUACGGAGGAUGCGAGCGUUAUCCGGAUUUAUUGGGUUUAAAGGGUGCGUAGGCGGACAGUCAAGUCAGCGGUAAAAAUGCGGUGCUCAACGCCGUACAGCCGUUGAAACUGGCAGUCUUGAGUGGGCGAGAAGUAUGCGGAAUGCGUGGUGUAGCGGUGAAAUGCAUAGAUAUCACGCAGAACUCCGAUUGCGAAGGCAGCAUACCGGCGCCCGACUGACGCUGAGUCACGAAAGCGUGGGUAUCGAACAGGAUUAGAUACCCCGGUA